UCUUCAGAUCUCACGUUCUCGACGUAGUCGCCUCCUUCUUCUUCCUCUCCACUGAGUUCUGUAACCUUAGUUUCAAUAUUAUUCAAUUCGAUCUUCAAUUCUGUCAUUACGCUCCGCUCACUUCUCUUCCCUCUCUGUCAUUUAAUUUCAAUAAGAGCAGCCUCUGUAACCGAUUGAAACUUCCCCUAUAAAUAAGGGUUAUUGGGGAAAUGGAGACUUACACAGUCGAGAUUUCUUGCUUAUCUGCAAAACAGCCGCGAGCCCUUCGAAAAUGGCAUCUUCCUAUGUUCUUCUCGGCAACCUGAGAGCAGGCCGUUGCUCAAACACGGCGGAGGUGCUCAAUAAGAAUACUAGAUAUACUCUUAAACCAGUCCGAUAUUGUAGAGGAUGGCUAUGACAAUGCUGUGAGAUCAUAAGUGUUGAUGAAAAUUUAAUGUACUUUUUCCAAAUUCUUAAGCAUAUGGAUCAGAGGCCCUGGUUCUUAUAAUGAAUAAAGUUUGCUGUUUGAUCCUCUCGGAGAAAGAAGCCGAGAUUGGCAACAUGAAUCCGGGGAAGAGACAUUUGACGCUAUUUUAGACAUUGUCCUGAGGCCUUGCAAGGAGGCUUAAAAUGCAUGGUACAUGUUAUAUCAUAUCUUCAUGAACACUCGCCAUUUCUUUUCUCAAAACUGUAUGUUCUUAUGAGCUUCUCUGACUCAUAUUGCACAGUCAAAGUAUGUUCUUCCGUCAACUGAAUUACUCAGUUAUAUACAACCUCUAUUAUGUA
Long non-coding RNA from Raphanus sativus (radish), 765 nucleotides. RefSeq lists it as uncharacterized. The transcript is spliced from 3 exons. NCBI's taxonomy places the organism in Eukaryota, Viridiplantae, Streptophyta, Magnoliopsida, Brassicales, Brassicaceae. The record is from RefSeq and is a predicted model, not a curated record.